This 1606-nucleotide long non-coding RNA is filed under the name Panax ginseng (ginseng). RNAcentral describes it as "long non-coding RNA (PGIN_LNC016754)". Lineage: Eukaryota; Viridiplantae; Streptophyta; Magnoliopsida; Apiales; Araliaceae. The record is from RNAcentral.
AAAAAACACGGAGUUAUGUGCUAGGAGUCGGGUAAGAAAAAAAACACGGAGGUUUUCUUAUGUUUCUUCUCCUUUUUGAAGUCCUCAAACUCUCCCAGUCUACUCUGAUAAAUCUCGUACCCAGCCAUAUCUAACUCCCUAAAUCUCAUUGCCAACCAUAUCUCUCUCCCUAAAUGUCUCAUAUCCACCCUUAAUAUCUUAUACACGAGCCUAAAUCUCUCAUACCGAGUCAAGCCCUAAUCGCACAUAGGAACUGCAUCUGAUGGGAGGCGAAAUUAGUCGAAAUUAGUCGGUGGGGGAUUUUAGGACCGAAAUCAGCCUAAAUCUCUCAUACCAAGUCAAGCCCUAAUUUUGAUGACAGAGGGUUUAGAUCUGCAUCUGAUGUGAGGCGGAAUCAUUCGGUGGGGGAUUUUAGGAGCGGUGGAGGGGGCGAAUUGUUCAGACUCACGACGAACUUGGAAUUGUCAGGUACGUUUUCUUUUGUCUUUGAUCUGUGUUUUAGGCUUAGUAUUAACUAUUGUUUGUUUGUUUGUUUUUGUUUGUUUUUCUUCUUUUUGAUUGUGAUAAUUUCAGAUAGUGUGAAUCUCUGUCGAUGAUUCGAUAAUUAGGUAACUUUUUUUCUGUUAUAUUUGUUCGAGCGCCAUUCCAUUUUUUAUUUUUUUUAAAAAAAUUUGUUUGCUGGUAAUUUGACUAUGAGUUUGAUUAUAUGAGUGGAGUCGAACUUUUUGCAGGAGAUGAUGAUAUCUUUGUGAGUUUUCCAGAUUGCUUCUAAUGUGGGAUGUUGUGAAUGUUUUGCACUACUUAGGUAUGUAAUUGGAAUCUCUCUGUUCAUAAGUUCUAGGAAUGGGUGAUACAGUAGAUGGCAACCUCUUUUUUGUUUCAGUGGUUGCAUCAUUGUCGAAUGGUAAUGCAAAUACUUUAGUGUAGUUACUGACCGUAUCGUAUGCUCUAGCUAUGUAUAUCGAAUGUUUUAUUUUGACUACAUGAAUUUCUAUCUUGUGGAAGUAGAUCACAGUACUUAUUCCACUCUCUUUCCUUUCUGUUUUUGGUUGAGGACAUUCAAAUUAUUGUGCUGUUUGUUUAGCCUUACUGGACAUCUUGGUUAAAUUGUGGAAAUUCUUUGGCUCGUUUAACAUGUGUUCUGGUUAAUUUAUUGAUUAAAAUAUUGAAGCAGUCCUCUGAUUUUGCUAACAAUCUAAUUUCUAUAGGUUCUCAUGUAGGUCUAUUUAUAUUUUGUCAAUUAGAAGUAUGGAUGGCAGUUUACUGAGUGCCAAAGGUCUACAGUUUUGGAUGCCAAAGGCCAGAAUCAGAAUUUGAAGGUGAAUGGUUCCCAUUCUUUCCCCCUCAUACCCCCCCAGGAUCAGGUUGACUUUCCCCUUUUCAGUUUUAAUUGUGGAUGGCAAAAUCCAAAUCGUCGAGGUGAAUGUCCCCGGUGCCCACCCCUUCCUACACUAGUAGAAGAAUGUUACUCUGAUGUAAUCUAGAUUUUGUAAUGAGGUGUCUUCUAAAUUCUUAUAUGGAACUUCCUACACUAGUAGAAGAAUGUUACUUUGAUCUAUUCUAGAUUUUGUAAUGAGGUGUCUUCUAAAUUCUUAUAUGGNNNNNN